RNAcentral lists this ribosomal RNA (466 nucleotides) under uncultured bacterium. Its description in RNAcentral is "partial 16S ribosomal RNA". It matches the Rfam family "Bacterial small subunit ribosomal RNA", at positions 339 to 795 of the family's 1533-position model. The record is from RNAcentral.
CUACGGGUGGCUGCAGUCGAGGAUCAUUCGCAAUGCGCGAAAGCGUGACGAUGCGACGCUGCGUGGAGGAUGACGGCCUUCGGGUUGUAAACUCCUGUCAUUCGGGAAAAACGGCCCUGUACUGAUAACGUACGGGGUAUGAUGGUACCGGAAGAGGAAGCCACGGCUAACUCUGUGGCCAGCAGCCGCGGUAAUACAGAGGUGGCGAGCGUUGUUCGGAUUUACUGGGCGUAAAGCGUGUGUAGGCGGUUUCGUAUGUCGGAUGUGAAAGCCCAUGGCUCAACUAUGGAAUUGCAUCCGAAACUGCGGGACUAGAGUAGAGUAGGGGAGAGCGGAAUUCUAGGUGUAGCGGUGAAAUGCGUUGAUAUCUAGAAGAACACCGGUGGCGAAGGCGGCUCUCUGGAAUCUUACUGACGCUGAGACACGAAAGUCGGGGGAGCAAACAGGAUUAGAUACCCGAGUAGUC